Long non-coding RNA from Hyaena hyaena (striped hyena), 286 nucleotides. RefSeq lists it as uncharacterized. Lineage: Eukaryota; Metazoa; Chordata; Mammalia; Carnivora; Hyaenidae. The transcript has 3 exons. The record is from RefSeq and is a predicted model, not a curated record.
GUUAAGCCUACAGAUUUUUAAACAUGACUGCACUCACAGUCAUCAACGUGGAGGGGAGCUAUGAUGUCCUAACCCAACCUUUGCUCAGAGUGAAGCCACCAUGAGUGCUGAAGGCCAGCUCCUCAGUAUAGCAUCAUUAUUAAAAAUGCUGUGGACCUUAGAGAAAAACAUUACCAUCAGAGCUUAGUCACAGAGAAGCAGUUAGAUCUUCCUGAAGUCCAUCAAUGACAGCAGAUCAUGUCAUUGGAUACUUCAGAAAAUGAAUAUCUCUUGAAGUGCAUGGAGU